CUAGCGUUGCUCGGAAUCACUGGGCGUAAAGCGCACGUAGGCGGAUUCUUAAGUCAGGGGUGAAAUCCUGGAGCUCAACUCCAGAACUGCCUUUGAUACUGAAGAUCUUGAGUUCGGGAGAGGUGAGUGGAACUGCGAGUGUAGAGGUGAAAUUCGUAGAUAUUCGCAAGAACACCAGUGGCGAAGGCGGCUCACUGGCCCGAUACUGACGCUGAUGCACGAAAGCGUGGGGAGCAAACAGG
RNAcentral lists this ribosomal RNA (242 nucleotides) under uncultured bacterium. RNAcentral's name for it is "partial 16S ribosomal RNA". It matches the Rfam family "Bacterial small subunit ribosomal RNA", at positions 535 to 776 of the family's 1533-position model. The record is from RNAcentral.